RNAcentral lists this ribosomal RNA (621 nucleotides) under Arthronema africanum tsf1f3. Its description in RNAcentral is "bacterial SSU rRNA". It matches the Rfam family "Bacterial small subunit ribosomal RNA", at positions 85 to 738 of the family's 1533-position model. The record is from RNAcentral. Lineage: Bacteria; Bacillati; Cyanobacteriota; Cyanophyceae; Leptolyngbyales; Leptolyngbyaceae.
UUACUGUUUUUCGGGGGGGGGGGGAUACGCGUGAGAAUCUGCCUUCAGGUCGGGGAUAACGACUGGAAACGGUCGCUAAUACCGGAUGUGCCGAGAGGUAAAAGCUUAAUGUGCCUGAAGAUGAGCUCGCGUCCGAUUAGCUAGUUGGUGUGGUAAGAGCGCACCAAGGCGGUGAUCGGUAGCUGGUUUGAGAGGAUGAUCAGCCACACUGGGACUGAGACACGGCCCAGACUCCUACGGGAGGCAGCAGUGGGGAAUUUUCCGCAAUGGGCGCAAGCCUGACGGAGCAAUACCGCGUGCGGGAGGAAGGCUUUUGGGUCGUAAACCGCUUUUAUUGGGGAAGAAGAUCUGACGGUACCCAAUGAAUCAGCAUCGGCUAACUCCGUGCCAGCAGCCGCGGUAAUACGGAGGAUGCAAGCGUUAUCCGGAAUUAUUGGGCGUAAAGCGUCCGCAGGUGGCUGGUCAAGUCUGCUGUUAAAGCGUAGAGCUUAACUCUAUAUCGGCAGUGGAAACUGGACAGCUAGAGUACGGUAGGGGUAGCGGGAAUUCCCAGUGUAGCGGUGAAAUGCGUAGAUAUUGGGAAAGGAACACCAGCGGCGGAAAGCGCGCUACUGGGCCUGU